This 158-nucleotide ribosomal RNA is filed under the name uncultured bacterium. Its description in RNAcentral is "partial 16S ribosomal RNA". It matches the Rfam family "Bacterial small subunit ribosomal RNA", at positions 1347 to 1500 of the family's 1533-position model. The record is from RNAcentral.
GAUCAGCACGCCGCGGUGAAUACGUUCCCGGGCCUUGUACACACCGCCCGUCACACCAUGGAAGUCUGCAAUGCCCGAAGCCGGUGGCCUAACCACUUAUGUGGAAGGAGCCGUCUAAGGCAGGGCAGAUGACUGGGGUGAAGUCGUAACAAGGUAAC